UACGGGGGGGGCAAGCGUUAAUCGGAAUUACUGGGCGUAAAGCGUGCGCAGGCGGUGAUGUAAGACAGAUGUGAAAUCCCCGGGCUCAACCUGGGAACUGCAUUUGUGACUGCAUCGCUGGAGUGCGGCAGAGGGGGAUGGAAUUCCGCGUGUAGCAGUGAAAUGCGUAGAUAUGCGGAGGAACACCGAUGGCGAAGGCAAUCCCCUGGGCCUGCACUGACGCUCAUGCACGAAAGCGUGGGGAGCAAACAGG
This 253-nucleotide ribosomal RNA is filed under the name uncultured bacterium. Its description in RNAcentral is "partial 16S ribosomal RNA". It matches the Rfam family "Bacterial small subunit ribosomal RNA", at positions 524 to 776 of the family's 1533-position model. The record is from RNAcentral.